Molecule: ribosomal RNA, 386 nt
Filed under: uncultured prokaryote
Description: bacterial SSU rRNA
Rfam family: Archaeal small subunit ribosomal RNA
Source: RNAcentral
GCGCGAAAACUUUACAAUGCUGGCAACAGCGAUAAGGGAACCUCGCGUGCCAGGUUACAAAUCUGGCUGUCGAGAUGCCUAAAAAGCAUUUCAUAGCAAGGGCCGGGCAAGACCGGUGCCAGCCGCCGCGGUAACACCGGCGGCCCGAGUGGUAACCGUUAUUAUUGGGUCUAAAGGGUCUGUAGCCGGCCGGAUAAGUCUCUUGAGAAAUCUGGCAGCUUAACUGUCAGGCUUUCAGGGGAUACUGUCUGGCUCGAGGCCGGGAGAGGUGAGAGGUACUUCAGGGGUAGGGGUGAAAUCUUGUAAUCCUUGAAGGACCACCAGUGGCGAAGGCGUCUCACCAGAACGGACCUGACGGCAAGGGACGAAAGCUAGGGGCACGAACC